This 665-nucleotide long non-coding RNA is filed under the name Brassica napus (rape). Its description in RNAcentral is "long non-coding RNA (BNAP_LNC020973)". The record is from RNAcentral. Lineage: Eukaryota; Viridiplantae; Streptophyta; Magnoliopsida; Brassicales; Brassicaceae.
GUGAAUCUUUAAAUUCACAACACCCUUUAGAACUAAUCAAAGUGACACAUAUAUUAUUAAUUAAAAAAUAUUAAAUUAAAUAAAAAAUAGCUACAAAAAAUAAAAACGCUAAUUUUAACUAUGCUAACGCUUCCAGUUAAACCUUAAACUCUAAAUCUUAAAUUCUAAACCCUACACCCUAAAUUCUAAACCCAAAUCCAAACCCCUAAAUCCAAACCUUAUAUCCUAAACCCUAAUCCUAGACCCUAAACCCAAAUUAUAUACCCUAAACCCAAAAACUAGACUAUAAACCUAAACUCUAUACCCUAAACCCAAAUCUUAAACCCUAAACUCAAACCGUAAAUCUUAAACCCAAAUUAUAUACCCUAAACCCAAAACCUUAACCAUAAGUCCAAACGGUAAAUCCUAAACUCAAACCGUAAAUCCUAAACCCAAAACCUAUACCCUAAACCCAAAUCCUAGACCAAAAACUCAAACAGUAAACCCUAAACCUAAACCCAAAAGUUAGAUGCUAUAGGGUAUGGGUUAAGGUUUACGGUUUGGGUUUAAAGUCUAAGACUUAGGUUUAGGGUAUAUGGUUUAGGUUUAUAGUCUAUUUUUGGGUUUAAGGUAUAUAAUUUGGGUUUAGGGUCUAGGACUAGGGUUUAGGAUAUAGGGUUUGGGUU